RNAcentral lists this ribosomal RNA (253 nucleotides) under uncultured bacterium. Its description in RNAcentral is "partial 16S ribosomal RNA". It matches the Rfam family "Bacterial small subunit ribosomal RNA", at positions 524 to 776 of the family's 1533-position model. The record is from RNAcentral.
GACGUAGGGUGCAAGCGUUGUCCGGAUUCAUUGGGCGUAAAGAGCGUGUAGGCGGCCAGGUAGGUCGGUUGUGAAAACUGGAGGCUCAACCUUCAGAGGUCGACCGAAACCAUCUGGCUAGAGUCCGGGAGAGGAGAGUGGAAUUCCUGGUGUAGCGGUGAAAUGCGCAGAUAUCAGGAAGAACACCCGUGGCGAAAGCGGCUCUCUGGAACGGUACUGACGCUGAGACGCGAAAGCGUGGGGAGCGAACAGG